RNAcentral lists this ribosomal RNA (119 nucleotides) under Methanobacterium sp. BRmetb2. The record is from RNAcentral. Lineage: Archaea; Methanobacteriati; Methanobacteriota; Methanobacteria; Methanobacteriales; Methanobacteriaceae.
UACGGCGACCAUAGCGGAGGGGUCACACCCGGACUCGUUUCGAUCCCGGAAGUAAAGUCCUCCAGCGAUUUGAACUGUACUGUGGGAACCCCCAUGGGAAAUUCAUGACGUCGCCGGCC